GCCAAACUUCUAGCCUCACAAACCACUAUAAAAAUUCACCAAUUUACUGUUUUACCUAAAACAUUUUUCUAAUUUAGUAAAGGCGAUAAAAAAAUUUCUCAGAGCAAUAUAAAUAGUACCGUAAGGGAAUGAUGAAAUAAAAAUGAAAUAGCUAUUAAGCAUAAAAAAGUAAAGCUUCUCCCUUGUACCUUUUGCAUCAUGGUUUAACUAGUCUUUUUUAGGCAAAAUGACUUUUAGUCUAACCCCCCGAACCUAGGCGAGCUACUUUAAGACAGCUUUUAGAGCCAACCCAUCUCUGUUGCAAAAGAGUGGGAAGAUCUUACAGUAGAGGUGAUAUACCAAACGAGCCUAGUGAUAGCUGGUUGCUUUAUAAAAGGAUUUUAGUCCAGCUUAAAGUUAUAUACAUAUCUUAACAAAUUAAACUUUAAGGCAAUUCAAAUAAGUUUCAGCCUAUUUGAAAAAGGAUACAACCUCUACCACUGGGUUACCCCAUACUAAAAAAUAAAGUAGGCCUAAAAGCAGCCACCUAAAAAAGCGUCACAGCUUACUCUAAUAAUUUUCAUAAUUUCUAAAACCACUCCCAACCCCUCACCCCCAAAAAGCAACUCUAUAAAUCUAUAGAAAAUUUUAUGUUAAAACUAGUAACAAGAAAUAGCCAUUCUCUUAAAUGUGCCCAUACAUCAAUACAAACCCUGUUGAUAAUUAACGUCUAUAAUCCUACAGUAAAACCCCCCCUUAGAAAACCCUACUACUAUUAACGUUAACCUAACACAAGAACAUUAAAAGAAAGAUUAAAAAAUAAAGAAGGAACUCGGCAAAUAUUAGCUUCGCCUGUUUACCAAAAACAUCGCCUCCUGACUAACUAUAAGAGGUCAAGCCUGCCCAGUGACAUUGUUCAACGGCCGCGGUAUCCUAACCGUGCGAAGGUAGCGUAAUCACUUGUCUUUUAAAUGGGGACUAGUAUGAACGGCUUCACGAAAGCUACACUGUCUCCUUUAUUUAAUCAGUUAAACUAAUCUCCCCGUGAAGAAGCGGGAAUACACCUAUAAGACGAGAAGACCCUAUGGAGCUUUAAACACCUUAAAACACUUGAAUUAUACCCCCUUGACACACUACAUUAAACCCAUCAUUUUGUUUUAAGUUUUAGGUUGGGGUGACCACGGAGAAUAAUCUACCCUCCACAUGGAAAGAAGCUUCUUUCUAAGCAAAAACCUACAUCUUUAUGCAUCAAAAUAUUUGACCUUAAUUGACCCAAUUACUUGAUCAAUGAACCAAGUUACCCUAGGGAUAACAGCGCAAUCCGCUUUGAGAGCUCCUAUCGACAAGCGGGCUUACGACCUCGAUGUUGGAUCAGGGUAUCCUAGUGGUGCAGCAGCUACUAAC
This 1383-nucleotide ribosomal RNA is filed under the name Colostethus sp. 'conspicuous'. RNAcentral describes it as "partial 16S ribosomal RNA". It matches the Rfam family "Bacterial large subunit ribosomal RNA", at positions 361 to 2569 of the family's 2925-position model. The record is from RNAcentral. Lineage: Eukaryota; Metazoa; Chordata; Amphibia; Anura; Dendrobatidae.